Molecule: non-coding RNA, 72 nt
Organism: Ictidomys tridecemlineatus (thirteen-lined ground squirrel)
Lineage: Eukaryota; Metazoa; Chordata; Mammalia; Rodentia; Sciuridae
Source: Rfam
GGGGACAUAACUCAAUGGUAGAGCACUUGCCUAGCAUGUGUGAGGCACUGGGUUCAAUCCCUAGUGUUGCCC